GAUGAACGCUGGCGGCGUGCCUAAUACAUGCAAGUCGAGCGAACGGACGAGAAGCUUGCUUCUCUGAUGUUAGCGGCGGACGGGUGAGUAACACGUGGAUAACCUACCUAUAAGACUGGGAUAACUUCGGGAAACCGGAGCUAAUACCGGAUGAUAUUUUGAACCGCAUGGUUCAAAAGUGAAAGACGGUCUUGCUGUCACUUAUAGAUGGAUCCGCGCUGCAUUAGCUAGUUGGUAAGGUAACGGCUUACCAAGGCAACGAUGCAUAGCCGACCUGAGAGGGUGAUCGGCCACACUGGAACUGAGACACGGUCCAGACUCCUACGGGAGGCAGCAGUAGGGAAUCUUCCGCAAUGGGCGAAAGCCUGACGGAGCAACGCCGCGUGAGUGAUGAAGGUCUUCGGAUCGUAAAACUCUGUUAUUAGGGAAGAACAUAUGUGUAAGUAACUGUGCACAUCUUGACGAUACCUAAUCAGAAAGCCACGGCUAACUACGUG
RNAcentral lists this ribosomal RNA (497 nucleotides) under uncultured bacterium. RNAcentral describes it as "partial 16S ribosomal RNA". It matches the Rfam family "Bacterial small subunit ribosomal RNA", at positions 28 to 507 of the family's 1533-position model. The record is from RNAcentral.